This 565-nucleotide long non-coding RNA is filed under the name Bos taurus (domestic cattle). Its description in RNAcentral is "long non-coding RNA NONBTAT000354". The record is from RNAcentral. Lineage: Eukaryota; Metazoa; Chordata; Mammalia; Artiodactyla; Bovidae.
GGUGAGGCCGCCUUGGGUUAGGUCAUGUAGAUGCUCGGAGAUUGAUUGGCUCUGGGCUUUGUGGGUGGAGGGGAUCAUUGGUCAGAAAACCUGGAGGAGGUCUUAAGCUCCGCGUCUGUGUGAGUUCUCAGACUACUUCUGGGAAUGGGCAGUGUGGUUUUCUGGAGGUUGUAGUUUAACACACCACACAGCUAAGGCAGGAGCCACAUUCCUAAACUAAACGUCUGCUCUGCCGUUGGAGCCCUUCCGGCCGCUGUGUUUGGAGAGGCACUGGGGCCCCAGUUGUAGGUCUGCCUGCACGUGGCUUGCACCACUCACUAGCCCUAGAUGUUGGGAACAGCAAAAAGGCAGUCAGCGCCACUGUGGUCCAGAGGACCAUCCUGCCGACCGAGAAGCACAAGUCAGUUGAUGAACAUCACAAAACAUGGUCCUUGACCCUGGGAGCUGUCCACAUGGUGCUGAGAGAAGUCUGAAUGACAGAUUUUCCAUGUUUUUCAAGCAAAGUCACCUUUGCUUGAAAAGUGGUUGUCAGGAUCACUGUACUUGUGUGUGUGUGUGUUGCGUG